UAGGGAAUCUUCGGCAAUGGGGGGAACCCUGACCGAGCAACGCCGCGUGAGUGAAGAAGGUUUUCGGAUCGUAAAGCUCUGUUGUUAAGGAAGAACGAGCGUGAGAAUGGAAAGUUCAUGCUGUGACGGUACUUAACCAGAAAGGGACGGCUAACUACGUGCCAGCAGCCGCGGUAAUACGUAGGUCCCGAGCGUUGUCCGGAUUUAUUGGGCGUAAAGCGAGCGCAGGCGGUUAGAAAAGUCUGAAGUGAAAGGCAGUGGCUCAACCAUUGUAGGCUUUGGAAACUGUUUAACUUGAGUGCAGAAGGGGAGAGUGGAAUUCCAUGUGUAGCGGUGAAAUGCGUAGAUAUAUGGAGGAACACCGGUGGCGAAAGCGGCUCUCUGGUCUGUAACUGACGCUGAGGCUCGAAAGCGUGGGGAGCGAACAGG
This 429-nucleotide ribosomal RNA is filed under the name Verrucomicrobiota bacterium. Its description in RNAcentral is "Verrucomicrobia bacterium partial 16S ribosomal RNA". It matches the Rfam family "Bacterial small subunit ribosomal RNA", at positions 355 to 776 of the family's 1533-position model. The record is from RNAcentral. Lineage: Bacteria; Pseudomonadati; Verrucomicrobiota.